AAGAAUACGCAUAUUAAUUAACCCCCUCCCCCAUCUCUCUUUCUCUUUCUCUCUCAUAUUUUUCCCCAAAACGAAACCCUAUCCUCUCAAUGUGUUUUUCAAUCUGAAAGCAUAUGAAGUCUUUAACAAUCAACUCUUUCAAAUUAUCUCUCAAAGGCUGAAGACUCACGUGAUGUCUAUUUGAACUGGGUGAAGACUCACAAACUAACAAUAACAAUGGUUAUCAAUUUGAACAGUCAUUUGUUGGAACUUGUGGAAGAUGAUGAGACGUAGUGGUUGAUAUCGACAAGAGAAACCUUCUUUAAGAUUGCAACAUCAGAUUACACAUGAGGGUUUGAAGAGUUAACUUACAAGUUAAGAUGCAAGUUUUGAAGACUUCAUACAAUAUUGUUUAUCACUUGCAAGGGUAGUUAGGAAAAAAGUUAUUUUUGCUAAAAGAUUGUGUAAACAGCACGGUGACAUAUGAAUCAUGGUUAUACAAUUAACAAUCGGAUGUAAUACACAUUUUUAUAAUUCAUAACCAAUUUAUACAUGUACAUUUGUAUA
Long non-coding RNA from Nicotiana attenuata, 546 nucleotides. RefSeq lists it as uncharacterized. The record is from RefSeq and is a predicted model, not a curated record. The transcript has 3 exons. NCBI's taxonomy places the organism in Eukaryota, Viridiplantae, Streptophyta, Magnoliopsida, Solanales, Solanaceae.